RNAcentral lists this long non-coding RNA (314 nucleotides) under Malus domestica (apple). RNAcentral describes it as "long non-coding RNA (MDOM_LNC016310)". The record is from RNAcentral. Lineage: Eukaryota; Viridiplantae; Streptophyta; Magnoliopsida; Rosales; Rosaceae.
CCCGCUAGAAGAGCUGGAACUGCCACUACUCCUCUUAAAGUUCUGAGUCUUAUGGGGUCCCUAAAAUGCUUGCCUUUUUCCUUUAUCAUCUCGUCUCUAGCCCCCAUUCUUUCCUUCCUUAUUCUCACUUUCACUAGGCAUGUUCUCUGAGACCUCAAUCCUCAGUAGAAUCUCAUAAAACUUCUGGUAAGAGGCACAUUAAGUCGAUGUCGCUAUGGAACGUAAUUUCUUCUUAGUACCCAAACUGAAACGGCGAAGCAUCUUUACCGAAUUAGCAGCAACCUCCGGAUCAUAUCUCGACAGAUCAGUAAACA